RNAcentral lists this ribosomal RNA (582 nucleotides) under Parasyrphus lineolus. Its description in RNAcentral is "eukaryotic LSU rRNA". It matches the Rfam family "Eukaryotic large subunit ribosomal RNA", at positions 394 to 801 of the family's 3401-position model. The record is from RNAcentral. Lineage: Eukaryota; Metazoa; Arthropoda; Insecta; Diptera; Syrphidae.
AGUACGUGAAACUGCUUAGAGGUUAAGCCCGAUGAACCUGAAUAUCCGUUAUGGAAAAUUCAUCACUAAUAAUAUGAUAUUUUAAAAAUAUUUUAGAAAUAGUGUGCAAUUUUUCCAUAUAAGGACAUUGUAAUCUGUUAAUGUAAUAAAUAUUUAUCAUAAGAUCCAUUACAAUAGUUUAUUCAAAUUAGUUAUUUUCGGAUUUCUAACAUAGAAUAAAUGUUUUGGAUUUGAUAAAUCAUUGACAGAUAUAAUUAUAUAAUGUGCUUAAAUUCUUCGGAAUUUUACAAUGGUAGAUAGAUCUAUUGAUUUGUUUAUUUAAUUGUAUGCGCUAUUAUGAUUAACAAUGCGAUAGAUUCAGGAUACCUUCGGGACCCGUCUUGAAACACGGACCAAGGAGUCUAACAUAUGUGCAAGUCAUUGGGUUAAAAAACCCAAUGGCAUAAUUAACUUAACUGUUAUUUAUAAUGGGAUUAAUUUAUAUUUUGUUAUGAAUUAUUAAUUCAAUCCCGGGGCGUUCUAUAUAGUUAUGUAUAAUGAUAUUUAUAUUAUUUAUGCCUCUAACUAGAGCGUACCUUGAGC